AUUAGCUAGUUGGUGAGGUAACGGCUCACCAAGGCUUCGAUCAGUAGCCGACCUGAGAGGGUGAUCGGCCACAUUGGGACUGAGACACGGCCCAAACUCCUACGGGAGGCAGCAGUGGGGAAUAUUGCACAAUGGAGGAAACUCUGAUGCAGCGACGCCGCGUGAAGGAAGAAGGUCUUCGGAUCGUAAACUUCUAUCAGCAGGGACGAUAAUGACGGUACCUGACUAAGAAGCCCCGGCUAACUACGUGCCAGCAGCCGCGGUAAUACGUAGGGGGCAAGCGUUAUCCGGAAUUACUGGGUGUAAAGGGUGCGUAGGCGGUAAUGUAAGUCAGGUGUGAAAGCCCGAAGCUCAACUUCGGGAUUGCAUUUGAAACUACAUAACUAGAGUACAGGAGAGGUGAGUGGAAUUCCUAGUGUAGCGGUGAAAUGCGUAGAUAUUAGGAGGAACACCAGUGGCGAAGGCGACUCACUGGACUGUAACUGACGCUGAGGCACGAAAGCGUGGGGAGCGAACAGGAUUAGAUACCCUGGUAGUCCACGCUGU
RNAcentral lists this ribosomal RNA (546 nucleotides) under uncultured bacterium. Its description in RNAcentral is "bacterial SSU rRNA". It matches the Rfam family "Bacterial small subunit ribosomal RNA", at positions 240 to 803 of the family's 1533-position model. The record is from RNAcentral.